This is a long non-coding RNA of Xenia sp. Carnegie-2017, 632 nucleotides long. RefSeq lists it as uncharacterized. Lineage: Eukaryota; Metazoa; Cnidaria; Anthozoa; Malacalcyonacea; Xeniidae. The transcript is spliced from 3 exons. The record is from RefSeq and is a predicted model, not a curated record.
UGUUUAACAUUCAUUUGACUAAAGGAAACCGCAGCAAAUAGGCGUUUUUAUUCGACGACAGAUAGACAAUAAGUAGGCGGUUGGUUAUCUACAAAUAGCCUCAUAAGUUUGAACAUCAUUUAGUCAGGUGGACCUCUUGGUGAAGAUCGCGAAGAUGAAGAACGUCUUUCUAUAUGGUCAUAUUCUUCUGCUCUUGACGUUACUCUAUAAUUUCGCAACUGUAAGAACCGCAAACGAUGACAAGGCAUUAAAACAACUUUUGGAAAAGAUCAAAACUAAGCGAAGAACGAGAGAAUCUGUCCCUCCUCGUCUGUGGAGGAGGCGAAGAGACGCAGAUGAACAUCACGAGCGAUCGAGAAUACCUACAUUAAGUUCAGACGAAGCGAACGAUUUUGCUGGAAUAUUGAGAGAAUAACCCAGACACCAAACGAAUCAUAUACAACAAAAAUAUUGAAAACAUGUACAUCUAAUAUAUUCUAUUUAAUAUUUUCACGCGUGGCCGUCGUUGUAUGCCAAGAAAUCGAACGUAACGUAGUUUGUGUUCAUGGGCGGGACACGCGGGGGCUGUACAGAAAUGUUUCACGAUAAACAUGUGUUCACAAUAAAUUUGAAAUAAAAGUAUGAUAUGUCAA